CAGUGGUAGUGAAGUUUGUAUGUCUUCUUUUGUUAGCCUUGAUCUCUUACUGGUUGAUAUUCAUACCUUUUUAUAGAAGGGAGCAGCGCAAAGUUGGGAGUGGGGAAGCUUGCUGCGCUGAUAAUCGACUACGCACUGAACUGGUGAUGGAGGCAGUCAUAGUAAUAAGUAAUAUAUCAAUGCAGAACACAACGUGCUUCAGGGAAUAUGACAAUAAAACAGAGGUUUUGUAUUUCAAGGACUUUUCACCUUGUACAAUCUCCCAAUCAUCUGUGAAGGCAUUGCAAAGCAUUGACUGGAAAACAUAUGGUUUGAAUUUAGGAGGCGUAGUGGAGCAAGAUGGCGUUACAUUACUACAAUGGGAAAACUUGCCUACAGAUACUCACAUUGAUAUUUUGCUACACUCGUAUCAUAAACAAUAUCCAGCACUGGACAGAUCCUUUUUAUCUUUAUCAGAGACAAUUAAAUGCAUCUUGUUAUUUUCUGAGAUAAUUUCUUUUCAAAAAAAAUUCUGAGACUUUUUUUAUGCUUUUACUGUAAGAUGUUUCUUUGAAGAAAAAAGUUAUAUUAUAUUUGUUCAUUGAAUAAGUGACGGUCCAGUAGUUCUUACUUGAACUUUAGCAGAUCUAGUGUAUCAUAACUCAAGCAGUUUGCCUUUUCUAGAUGUGGAAAAGGAACUUUGUAUUUUCUUUCUACCUUUUUCAUACAAUCAUGGCUCAAUAUAUAGCCUUUAUUAGAGCAUUAGAGAUGCUACAAACACACACCCGAUAAGGAUCAACAGAUACGCACUACUCCUAUAACAAAGCAUAUUCCUACUAAGUGCUAACCACUCCCUCACUGCUAGCUGGGCUACCUCUAACGGCAUUUGAUCCUGUAAUAUUCUCCUUCCUAUCACCCAUCUUCAUACAACCAAUUUACAAAUCUACAUUUCAGGGUUAAAAUUGCACUUUACGUUCUUCUCGGGCAUACAUAUUUCCCUAUAUAUGUAUGAACAUUGGAUUUUGUAUGGCAAUGUAUCUUCUGAAUUUUCUUUAUUUGUAUGUAAUUUAUACUUCCUUGACAUAUUUAAUAUUUAUAAGACCAUGAUACCAGCUCCAAGGAAAAUGUCUCCACUUGUCAGAAACCUUGUUAAGAGAGCAGUUAAACUUUCCCUAGAUGACUUGAAGGCGAAUCAUUCCCAGGCUUUUUUAAGUUCACGUGACGUCGAGAUUUGCGGUUAUGCCCCUGAUCUCGCAAGACAAUUGCUGGGAUCUUGUCUUCCUGUGACUUGGAUUUCCAGGGAGAAUGCAUUUCUCUUCUUGGAUUACAGUCCCAAGGGGUUGGAACUGAAAUUGUGGAAAACUGUAUUGAGGAAAGAAUUGUUUCAGUUGUAGAGAUGGACAACAAGAAGCCCCACAAUUCUCAAGAACCCGCACCUUUCCUUUUCGAAGAAGACCCUGUCGAGGAAUUAGAGUUUCAAGAAAACGAUUUCAGCCCCUUGAACUCUUUACUGUUUUAAGCUUUUCUUGCGCCCCUAGUUCAAGUAUAUGUCAUUGAGGCAAAACGGAGCAAUAGUAACCACUAAGAACAAUGAAAAGGCAAUACUAAUAGCAUUUGGUCAAUUUAUUUUUCAUAAUUUUAUUUCCUAAAUUGUUUAUUUGUGUACAUGUUUUUAUUGAAAAAAUAGCUACACAUUUUUGUGAAUAAGAAAAUAGUACUGUCAAAAACUGAAAA
Glycine soja is the source of this 1713-nucleotide RNA transcript. It is a transcript of the gene named type 2 DNA topoisomerase 6 subunit B-like, with no coding region annotated. The transcript is spliced from 4 exons. NCBI's taxonomy places the organism in Eukaryota, Viridiplantae, Streptophyta, Magnoliopsida, Fabales, Fabaceae. The record is from RefSeq and is a predicted model, not a curated record.